AAACAGAGUUUUACUUUUAGGGGUGGGAAGAAGGCACAGAGAUUUGAAGAGGACCAUGUUCUAACUACUAUAAUAGCCAAAUGUGCAACAUGCAACAUGCUACAAAAUCUGGAGGAGGCGCUAUCCCAGAUUGUAAGGACUAACACAGAGGUCACUCCCUGGACAAGGGAAAAUGACCUAGAAGAGAGACAAUGUCAUUUAGAGGUCUACCUCAGAACAAGGUGGCUGGAAAUCUGGAUCCAAUAAUUUGUUGAAGUGAAGGGACUCUCUUGGCUGAUAAACUUGGAAUAGGAAUUCAUCCGAAGCCUACGACAACAACAACAGCAAUAUAAUUAGUGUAAAAUAUGUCACGAUACGCAGUUUCCACACCAUUUUAACAUCCCUGGAUAAAAUCUGCUUGUCUUGCUCAGCAGAUUCCAUAGCCUUCCUGAAUUCCAACUGCAUCUGUGUAUACUUCUUAUCAUUCAGCAUCUGUCUGUG
This is a long non-coding RNA of Erinaceus europaeus (western European hedgehog), 480 nucleotides long. RefSeq lists it as uncharacterized. Lineage: Eukaryota; Metazoa; Chordata; Mammalia; Eulipotyphla; Erinaceidae. The record is from RefSeq and is a predicted model, not a curated record. The transcript has 3 exons.